This is a long non-coding RNA of Boleophthalmus pectinirostris (great blue-spotted mudskipper), 548 nucleotides long. RefSeq lists it as uncharacterized. The transcript has 3 exons. The record is from RefSeq and is a predicted model, not a curated record. Lineage: Eukaryota; Metazoa; Chordata; Actinopteri; Gobiiformes; Gobiidae.
UUUGACACAAACCUGUGCGUACUCAUGAAGGGCAGAGUGAACUGUCCUAAGAAGUCAUUGGCUGAUGUGUAAUCAUGGUCCUCCACCAUGAACCGAACCAAGGCCAAGUCUGGAGCGUGAACCGUGAAGUUAAAGUGUGGCAGGUUUGACCUGACAGAAGAAGACCUGAGGGGAGGGGGAACAGGUUUCACAUCGGCCAUUGACCGGUAGAAAAAAAUCUAAUACACUUGCAGACAGUAACUUGUAAAAACGAGGAUUAUUGAGCUAAUUCGUGAGAUCUUACCCGGAUGGUGAGAAGGAAAGGUUUGUGGCCCGGACCUCCCCCAACAUUUUCAGGGUUAAAGGUCGUGUCAGGGCAGCACAUGAAGGGGGGCUUCAGGACAUAUCCACACUGACCAUUUUGGAGAAACCUGCCCCGGUUCAAGUCCAUCUGCUCACCUGGAGUCUGGAAGUUUAGAGCCACUACAAAAUACACACAAUCGUUUCAUACACCAAGAUGUGUACCUAGGCUUAUCACUGUGAUGUUAUAUUAAAUGAAAGAAAAACAA